AAAGAAAGGAUAAAUUAAAAUCGAGAUGGACCUUGAGGAAGAUCACAUGAGGGCUGAUGGGGAAGAGGCAUUUGAAGGCUUUAUAGGAGGCAUAGUACUGGAAAUCUGCUCCUGAUGAGGUCUCAGAAAGCUUCCACUCAUGGUGGAAGGCAAAGGAGGAGCAGUCACAUGAGCCUUGAAAUCAGCAAAACAAUAAUCAGAGAGCAGUUCUGUCAAGGAAAACAACAUAAAUCAGGUACAGAAUUUCAGAGUGGGAUAUCAGAUCUUUAGUGGGAAGAUACAUCUACAUUAAACCAGAAAUCACUAGAAGUGACAUUUGGACAAGAAAAUUUGGAAAAUUUUAAAACUGUGAAGGUUGAUCAUGGAAAUUAAAGAGGAAGGGGCAUCAGAAGAAGGGCAGCACUUUCUUCCCACAGCCCAGGCCAGUGAUCCUGGGGACUGUCAGUUUACAAGUAUCCAGAAGACUCCAAAUGAACCACAGUUGGAAUUCAUCCUUGCUGCAGCUAUCUGAAUAAUGGGAUCAGGCCUGGUGAUUGGAUGCUGCUGAACAUCUA
Molecule: small RNA, 554 nt
Filed under: Pongo abelii (Sumatran orangutan)
Lineage: Eukaryota; Metazoa; Chordata; Mammalia; Primates; Hominidae
Description: processed transcript
Source: RNAcentral